GACGAACGCUGGCGGCGUGCUUAACACAUGCAAGUCGAACGGAAAGGCCCUGCUUUUGUGGGUUGCUCGAGUGGCGAACGGGUGAGUAACACGUGAGUAACCUGCCCUUGACUUUGGGAUAACUUCAGGAAACUGGGGCUAAUACCGGAUAGGAGCUCCUGCUGCAUGGUGUUGGUUGGAAAGUUUCGGCGGUUGGGGAUGGACUCGCGGCUUAUCAGCUUGUUGGUGGGGUAGUGGCUUACCAAGGCUUUGACGGGUAGCCGGCCUGUGAGGGUGACCGGCCACAUUGGGACUGAGAUAAGGCCCCGACUGCUGCGGGAGGCAGCAGUGGGGAAUAUUGAACAAUGGGCGGAAGCCUGAUGAAGCAACGCCGCGUGCGGGAUGACGGCCUUAGGGUUGUAAACCGCUUUCGCAUGUGACGAAGCGUGAGUGAAGGUAAUGGGUAAAGAAGCACAGGCUAAAUAAGUG
Molecule: ribosomal RNA, 468 nt
Filed under: uncultured bacterium
Lineage: Bacteria
Description: partial 16S ribosomal RNA
Rfam family: Bacterial small subunit ribosomal RNA
Source: RNAcentral